This 76-nucleotide transfer RNA is filed under the name Acidobacteriota bacterium. RNAcentral's name for it is "Acidobacteria bacterium tRNA-Met". It matches the Rfam family "tRNA". Rfam says of the family: Transfer RNA (tRNA) molecules are approximately 80 nucleotides in length. Their secondary structure includes four short double-helical elements and three loops (D, anti-codon, and T loops). Further hydrogen bonds mediate the characteristic L-shaped molecular structure. tRNAs have two regions of fundamental functional importance: the anti-codon, which is responsible for specific mRNA codon recognition, and the 3' end, to which the tRNAs corresponding amino acid is attached (by aminoacyl-tRNA synthetases). tRNAs cope with the degeneracy of the genetic code in two manners: having more than one tRNA (with a specific anti-codon) for a particular amino acid; and 'wobble' base-pairing, i.e. permitting non-standard base-pairing at the 3rd anti-codon position. RNAcentral also lists the same sequence under 6 other names. Lineage: Bacteria; Pseudomonadati; Acidobacteriota. The record is from RNAcentral.
GGGCCCGUAGCUCAGCGGUUAGAGCAGCGGACUCAUAAUCCGUUGGUCCUAGGUUCAAAUCCUAGCGGGCCCACCA